RNAcentral lists this ribosomal RNA (342 nucleotides) under uncultured fungus. RNAcentral describes it as "SSU rRNA". It matches the Rfam family "Eukaryotic small subunit ribosomal RNA", at positions 294 to 636 of the family's 1831-position model. The record is from RNAcentral. Lineage: Eukaryota; Fungi.
GGUCAUCAAAUUUCUCCCCUAUCAACUUUCAACGGCUGGGUCUUGGCCAGCCAUGGUGACAACGGGUAACGGAGGGUCAGGGCUCGACCCCGGAGAAGGAGCCUGAGAAACGGCUACUACAUCCAAGGAAGGCAGCAGGCGCGCAAAUUACCCAAUCCCGACCGGGAAGGUAGUGACAACAAAUACUGAUACAGGGCUCUUUAGGGUCUUGUAAUUGGAAUGAGUACAAUUUAAAUCCCUUAACGAGGAACAAUUGGAGGGCAAGUCUGGUGCCAGCAGCCGGGGAAAUUCCAGCUCCAAUAGCGUAUAUCAAAGGUUUUGCAAGUAAAAAGCUCGGAGUUU